GAGAGAGACAGCCACAGAGAGAGAGAGAGAGAGAGAGAGAGAGAGAAGGAGAAGGGGUAAGAGGCUAGUGGUCAACAGUUUGCCAGUGUUAAGUGACCCUCAUGAUGGGAGAGCCCAGCAGCACCCGUGGACACACUCCUGUUGAUGUCAACACCAGGGUGCCCUCGCUGGAUAUGAGCGUGGAUGGAGGAGCUGCACUGCUGCCUGGCUGCUUGAUCUUCUGGCUGUUGGCAUAGGACCACACCACUACGGGGGCCUUUUAGUGUGAGGCCACUUCACCAGGAAACUGGGCAUGAAAAGUGAGUGUCAACAGUGCCAGACUCACAGGUGGAGGUCCAUGGCAGAGAGCAGUAAGGACCCUGCUGGGGGGGAGGCAGGCGGAGGGGAUGGACGGACGGUUGGACAUGGCUCCUGUGGGUGUUUCUCUGGCAGUGUCUUAGCUGGUUGUUGUGAGGAGUGAGAACGAAGCAAUCAGCAAGUAUACUGCCGCAGAAAUUCUUCGCAAUAAGAGGCCCUGGGUUGACAAAAAAAAAAAAAAAACAAGACAAAAGAGAAGAGUCAGCACUGAAUCAAACGUGGCUCCUGCUGCUACUGUAAGUUCUUACAUGUGUGCUGAUGCUGUAGAAAUUCACGUGAGCCGAGGAGCUGAUACAGAAAAUAAAUGUACCGAGAGCAUGGCCUUAUGGUAAAACAGCCUCUACAGUAUUUACAGUUGCAUCAAACUGCUACACUGUACUUGUCUUGUUGUACUUGUACGAUCCUCUGCUGCCAUCUGGUGAUUGAAAGACAUCUCAAGGCAGGUUUGUGUUCACUGCAGCAUUUUGUUGAACACUUUGUUCAUUUCUAAAAAGAUUUGAAACAUUUCUAUAAUUUAUCUUAUACAAUCAACACAGAAUUUAUUUCCAGAACAUAAAAAAUCAUUAUUUUUGAUUUGCAAAUGCAUGAUGUUUUUGGCACCUUUAUUUUAAUUAUCAUACAACAGUUUAAUUGUUGAUUCACACUUUAUAGGUUGCAACUUAAUCAUGUAUGUGUCUAAUGAAUUAUAAAUGUAAAGAAGCAGCAAAUAAAAGUUACACAAAGAGUGA
Non-coding RNA from Labrus bergylta (ballan wrasse), 1085 nucleotides. Lineage: Eukaryota; Metazoa; Chordata; Actinopteri; Labriformes; Labridae. The record is from RefSeq and is a predicted model, not a curated record.